Long non-coding RNA from Diorhabda sublineata, 3143 nucleotides. RefSeq lists it as uncharacterized. NCBI's taxonomy places the organism in Eukaryota, Metazoa, Arthropoda, Insecta, Coleoptera, Chrysomelidae. The record is from RefSeq and is a predicted model, not a curated record. The transcript has 3 exons.
UCUAAGGUCUUAAAGGUUUAUUUGUUCGAUAUUUCCGUUUAUAGUCACAAUGUAUUUGAUCCAGCAAACCACCAGCUCUUCCUGGUAGAAGGUUUCCGUUUGGUGACUGAAUUACUUCGUCUAAGACAUCAAAGGUCUUUCUUAGACUCCUUUAGUGGUACUAAUUUGAUAAAAAACUGAAGCAGCGAAGUUUAGAGAGGGUAUUCUAAGGUCUUAAAGGUUUAUUUGUUCGAUAUUUCCAUUUAUAGUCACAAUGUAUUUGAUCCAGCAAACCACCAGCUCUUUCUGGUAGAAGAUUUUCAUUUGGUGAUUGAAUUACUUCGUCUAACACAUCAAAGGUCUUUCUUAGACUCCUUUAGUGGUACUAAUUUGAUAAAAAACUGAAGCAGCGAGGUAUAUAGAGGGUAUUCUAAGGUCUUAAAGGUUUAUUUGUUCGAUAUUUCCGUUUAUAGUCACAAUGUAUUUGAUCCAGCAAACCACCAGCUCUUCCUGGUAGAAGGUUUCCGUUUGGUGAUUGAAUCACUUCGUCUAAGACAUCAACGGUUUUCCUUAGACUCCUUUAGUGCUAUUAAUUUGAUAAAAAACUGAAGCAGCGAAGUUUAGAGAGGGUAUUCUAAGGUCUUAAAGGUUCCUUUGUUCGAUUUUUCUGUUUAUAGUCACAAUGUAUUUGAUCCAGCAAACCACCAGCUCUUUCUGGUAGAAGAUUUUCAUUUGGUGAUUGAAUUACUUCGUCUAACACAUCAAAGGUCUUUCUUAGACUCCUUUAGUGGUACUAAUUUGAUAAAAAACUGAAGCAGCGAGGUAUAUAGAGGGUAUUCUAAGGUCUUAAAGGUUUAUUUGUUCGAUAUUUCCGUUUAUAGUCACAAUGUAUUUGAUCCAGCAAACCACCAGCUCUUCCUGGUAGAAGGUUUCCGUUUGGUGAUUGAAUCACUUCGUCUAAGACAUCAACGGUUUUCCUUAGACUCCUUUAGUGCUAUUAAUUUGAUAAAAAACUGAAGCAGCGAAGUUUAGAGAGGGUAUUCUAAGGUCUUAAAGGUUCCUUUGUUCGAUUUUUCUGUUUAUAGUCACAAUGUAUUUGAUCCAGCAAACCACCAGCUCUUUCUGGUAGAAGAUUUUCAUUUGGUGAUUGAAUUACUUCGUCUAACACAUCAAAGGUCUUUCUUAGACUCCUUUAGUGGUACUAAUUUGAUAAAAAACUGAAGCAGCGAGGUAUAUAGAGGGUAUUCUAAGGUCUUAAAGGUUUAUUUGUUCGAUAUUUCCGUUUAUAGUCACAAUGUAUUUGAUCCAGCAAACCACCAGCUCUUCCUGGUAGAAGGUUUCCGUUUGGUGAUUGAAUCACUUCGUCUAAGACAUCAACGGUUUUCCUUAGACUCCUUUAGUGCUAUUAAUUUGAUAAAAAACUGAAGCAGCGAAGUUUAGAGAGGGUAUUCUAAGGUCUUAAAGGUUCCUUUGUUCGAUUUUUCUGUUUAUAGUCACAAUGUAUUUGAUCCAGCAAACCACCAGCUCUUUCUGGUAGAAGAUUUUCAUUUGGUGAUUGAAUUACUUCGUCUAACACAUCAAAGGUCUUUCUUAGACUCCUUUAGUGGUACUAAUUUGAUAAAAAACUGAAGCAGCGAGGUAUAUAGAGGGUAUUCUAAGGUCUUAAAGGUUUAUUUGUUCGAUAUUUCCGUUUAUAGUCACAAUGUAUUUGAUCCAGCAAACCACCAGCUCUUCCUGGUAGAAGGUUUCCGUUUGGUGAUUGAAUCACUUCGUCUAAGACAUCAACGGUUUUCCUUAGACUCCUUUAGUGCUAUUAAUUUGAUAAAAAACUGAAGCAGCGAAGUUUAGAGAGGGUAUUCUAAGGUCUUAAAGGUUCCUUUGUUCGAUUUUUCUGUUUAUAGUCACAAUGUAUUUGAUCCAGCAAACCACCAGCUCUUUCUGGUAGAAGAUUUUCAUUUGGUGAUUGAAUUACUUCGUCUAACACAUCAAAGGUCUUUCUUAGACUCCUUUAGUGGUACUAAUUUGAUAAAAAACUGAAGCAGCGAGGUAUAUAGAGGGUAUUCUAAGGUCUUAAAGGUUUAUUUGUUCGAUAUUUCCGUUUAUAGUCACAAUGUAUUUGAUCCAGCAAACCACCAGCUCUUCCUGGUAGAAGGUUUCCGUUUGGUGAUUGAAUCACUCCGUCUAAUACAUACCCAUCCAUCCAUAUCCAAAAUUCUGAACAUAUUCUAAGGUCUUAAAGCUCAAUCUGUAGGUAUAUAGCCUUUGAUCCAGCAAGCCACCAGCUUCCGUGUACCUUCCUGGUAGAUGGUGUUGAUUUGGUCAUACCGACGAUCUUCUAAAGGUUCCUUCUUCUUUAAUAGGGCUAUCGCCUGUUCUUUCUUCGACAUUUCUCCUCAUCCUUUCUCUAUGUUGUUUCCACCUCUUUCGUGAUCGACCACGAUUCACGUGAAUAAAAAGUUAAUGAAAUGGAGAAACGAACACGUCAUGAAAAUAGCCUUCCAGGUCAUAACAUCGCUCAAUCAUAAAAUUAAAACUAAUAUUAUCAAAUCGUGUGAUUAAAUUUUAAAUUAAAAAAUCAUUCGUACGUGACGGUUCCAAAAUAGCAACACCUUCAGUUAGUUACCAUCGUUACCGAUAUGUUUUAACGUACACUCACAACAAAUGGAAACCAUGUGUCUGCCAGUGGUAGGAUAAACCUUCAAUAACCAUAAUAAAAUUGAUAGAAAUGUCGAAAUUUGUCAGUGGGAACAAAAUUGAUUUGAAAUUAAACGGUGAUAAAGUAAGUGAUUUAUAAUUUGUAAUAUUUUGAGGUUAUACAGAUUUUUUUAUAGAUCAAUUUGGAGGCUAGAUGUAGGAAUAAUUACAGUAGCACAGCUAGUUCCAAAUCUAUAUUAUUAACCAAAAAAUAUUUACGACCGGCUUCGACGAUCCCUUCGCUGAAUUUAAGGGACAGUACACAUCUUGAACAUGAAAUUACAUCGGCGGAACGUCCGUUUUCAGCUGGUUACGUUCCGAAGAAGUUUCAAAAAAAUUAUUCACAACAUCUCGAUGGAAGUACUGAAGAAUUAGACGACGAAAUAUUACCAUCUUCAUUUAUUUUGAAAAAUAUGUUACAAGAACCCGUGGAUUUUUGGAAUACCACAAAACAAUUGAAAUGUCUGGGC